RNAcentral lists this ribosomal RNA (140 nucleotides) under Burkholderia territorii. Its description in RNAcentral is "partial 23S ribosomal RNA". It matches the Rfam family "Bacterial large subunit ribosomal RNA", at positions 1 to 132 of the family's 2925-position model. Lineage: Bacteria; Pseudomonadati; Pseudomonadota; Betaproteobacteria; Burkholderiales; Burkholderiaceae. The record is from RNAcentral.
GUUAUAGGGUCAAGCGAACAAGUGCAUGUGGUGGAUGCCUUGGCGAUCACAGGCGAUGAAGGGCGCGGUAGCCUGCGAAAAGCUACGGGGAGCUGGCAAACAAGCUUUGAUCCGUAGAUGUCCGAAUGGGGAAACCCACU